ACGUAGGAGGCAAGCGUUAUCCGGAGUUACUGGGCGUAAAGGGCGUGCAGGCGUUUGGCUCCUUUCUUUUUGCCCUCUCCCCUGCUUCCCCGGGCUCUUCCAAUGAAGACUGGUCAGCUAGAGGACGGUAGAGGGGUGUGGAAUUCCGGGUGUAGUGGUGAAAUGCGUAGAGAUCCGGAGGAACACCAGAGGCGAAGGCGACACCCUGGGCCGUACCUGACGCUAAGACGCGACAGCACGGGGAGCGAACGG
RNAcentral lists this ribosomal RNA (252 nucleotides) under uncultured prokaryote. Its description in RNAcentral is "partial 16S ribosomal RNA". It matches the Rfam family "Bacterial small subunit ribosomal RNA", at positions 525 to 775 of the family's 1533-position model. The record is from RNAcentral.